GUCAGAAUACAAAAUAAGCCAUGAAUCUAACAUCUUAUCCCUUCUAUCAAACUUCAUAGAACAUCUUUUAUUGAUAAGACCAAUUUACACUCCCAACAACCAUGCCAACAGAGGAAGGUGGGGAGAAUAUCAAUAACUUUUCCUAAUGACUGUUUUGAGGCAUGCAAAGGGCACACACUAGGAACGGUGAAAUGAAGGUAUGAUUAUCAGUUGUUAUUUUGAGCAUCAUUUCUAAGAGAAAAUAAGACGUUACUUUUACCUAAGAUGGCUUACAAUAUAAUGGAACAUUCAAAAUCAUAUUAUGCCCAUGGCUAGAUCGAAGAUUUUACAAAAUCCAUACAUGAUUAAUAACACCAGUACUACUAUUAUUGCAACCAUUGUUACAUCUUGCUUUCAGAUAACUAAACAAAUUUCAUAGACAAGGACAGAGGGAAAGGUGAAG
This 442-nucleotide unclassified non-coding RNA is filed under the name Hevea brasiliensis (rubber tree). Lineage: Eukaryota; Viridiplantae; Streptophyta; Magnoliopsida; Malpighiales; Euphorbiaceae. The record is from RNAcentral.